GUUCAUUUCAUAAGAAGGGAUCAGAAGAACCAGAGCCCAGCUGUGUCUCUAUGAGUAGUCACAAGUCUUUGGAUUUGCCAAUAGAGUUUAAGAGUGGAGAUACACAGUCUGAUCUCAGUUCAGUUCAUCAGAAGAGUCCAGAACCAGAACCCAGCUGUGUGUCUAUGAAGAGUGACGAGUCUUUGGAUUUUGCCAAUAAAUUUUAAGAGCAGAGAUACACAGACUGAUCUGGGUUCAUUUCAUCAUAAGAAAUCAGAACCAGAGCCCAGCUGUGUGUCUAUGAGGAGUGAAGGGUCUGUGAGUCCUCCACUACAUCCUAAGAGUGGAGAUACACAGACUGAUCUCAGCCAUGAUGUCCUCAACACGU
This is a long non-coding RNA of Cyprinus carpio (common carp), 367 nucleotides long. RefSeq lists it as uncharacterized. The transcript has 4 exons. The record is from RefSeq and is a predicted model, not a curated record. NCBI's taxonomy places the organism in Eukaryota, Metazoa, Chordata, Actinopteri, Cypriniformes, Cyprinidae.